Misgurnus anguillicaudatus (oriental weatherfish) is the source of this 1796-nucleotide long non-coding RNA. RefSeq lists it as uncharacterized. The record is from RefSeq and is a predicted model, not a curated record. NCBI's taxonomy places the organism in Eukaryota, Metazoa, Chordata, Actinopteri, Cypriniformes, Cobitidae.
AUCUAUCUAUCUAUCUAUCUAUCUAUCUAUCUAUCUAUCUAUCUCUAGCAUGACUAACAUGCACAUUAAAGCAAUGCACAAAAAAGAUGUUAGAGGCUCGGCCGCGGUUAGUGACUAGCACGACUAACAUGCAGAUGAAAGCAAUGCACAAAAAAGAUGCUAGAGGCUCGUCCGCGGUGGUCCGGUUUGGCGCCGACGGAGAUACAAGAGCGUCUAGCACGACUUAACAUGCAGAUUAAAACAAUGCACAAAAAAAGAUGCUAGAGGCUCGGCCGCGGUAAGUCGCUAGCCAGCUAACAUGCAGAUUAAAGCAAUGCACAAAAAAGAUGCUAGAGGCUCGGCCGCUGUGGUCCGGUUUGGCGCCGACGGUGAUACAAGAGUCUCUAGCACGACUAACAUGCAUAUUAAAGCAAUGCACAAAAAAGAUGCUAAAGGCUCGACCGCUGCUUGGCCGCGGUUAGUGACUAGCACGACUAACAUGCAGAUUAAAACAAUGCACAAAAAAGAUGCUAGAGGCUCGGCCGCGGUGGUCCGGUUUGGCGCCGACGGUGAUACAAGAGUCUCUAGCACGACUAAACAUGCAGAUUAAAACAAUGCACAAAAAAGAUGCUAGAGACUCGGCCGCGGUAAUCCAUGAUGGCGGCCAUGGUGACAGGAGUCUCUAGCAGGACUUACAUGCAGAUUAAAGCAAUGCACGAAAAAUACGCUAUAGGCUCAGCCGUGGUACUCCAUGACGGCGGCCACGGUGACAGGAGUCUCUAGCACAACUGAAAUACAGACUAAAAAGAUCUGUGAAGAAGACCCUACAGGCUCGGCCGUGGUGUUCCAGGAUGGUGCCCACGAUGACAUGAGUCUCUAGCACAACUGACAUACCGACUAAAAAGAUCUGUGAAGAAGACGCUAAAGGCUCGGCUGUGGUACUGCAUGACGGCGACCACAGUGACGUGAGUCUUUAGCACGACUAACAUCGUGACUCAAAGAUCUGCGAAGAAGACGCUACAGGCUCGGCCGUGGUACCCCAUGACGGCGAUCACGGUGAUGUGAGUCUCUAGCAUGACUGACAUACGGACUAAAAAGAUCUACGAAGAAGAUGCUACAGGCUCGGCCGUGGUACUCCAUGACGGCGACCACGGUGACUUGAGUCUCUAGCACGACUAAAAAGAUCUAUGAAGAAGAUGCUACAGACUCGGCCAGCAAGACUGACAUACUGACUAAAAAGAUCUGCGAAGAAGACGCUACAGGCUCGGCCGUGGUACUCCAUGACGGUGGCCAUGGUGACGUGAGUCUAUAGCAUGACUGACAUACAGACUUAAAGAUCUGCGAAGAAGACGCUACAGGAUCGACAGUGGGUGACCACAGCUGUUGGAGCCUCUGGUGCAACAAUAAUGAACGUGGCCUGCCACAUUACCAGAGCUAACCGGUGUGGCCCUAGCACGGAGACACAAGAGUAGGAAUGGCUCUUGGAGUCAAACCCAGUGUACUGGCUGUGGCCAAAGUGGGCUUCUAAAGGGAAAUCACCGCUAACAUGAUAUAAGAUGAAGAAGACAAUGCCGUUGAUGGAGUGUCGGGUGGAUUGUGAGACCUUCAUCGUUCUUCAGCCAGGCGCUCAGCAAUCUGUGUGCUAAGCUGCAGCUGCGACUGUGUGUGUUCGAGCUAUGCAGCGUUGCAUCAAAGUCUGCUAUCUGAAUUGCUGCCACGGCUUCCCUAUGACCCCGAGACAGCAAAAUAAACACAUUUGAUGCCAAAUGUGAUCCCAAGAACAUAACCUCUGGCUAUUUUUAACUUUUUGUUUAUUU